Transfer RNA from Camelus ferus (Wild Bactrian camel), 72 nucleotides. It matches the Rfam family "tRNA". Rfam says of the family: Transfer RNA (tRNA) molecules are approximately 80 nucleotides in length. The record is from Rfam. Lineage: Eukaryota; Metazoa; Chordata; Mammalia; Artiodactyla; Camelidae.
GAGGGUAUAGCUCAGUGGUAGAGUGUGUGCCUAGAACGUACAACGUCCUGGGUUCAAUCCCCAGUACUUUCA